UUGAAGUUAAAAGCGACAUUGAUUGCAUCCAAAUGAUGCAUUGAUCAGAUGACAUAGUGUUAACUGUUGUAAUUUCCUAGAUUUUAAUGGUUGUUUGUGUUGUUGUUCUUGUAUUUGUUAUUGUUCUAGUACUUGUUCUUGUUUUAGUACUUGUUCUUGUUCCAGUAUUUGUUUUUGUUUUAGUAUUUGUUGUUCUAAUGUUAGAUGUUUGUGUUUGUUGUUCCAAUGUCAUCUUCUAUUUGGAAUAAAAAGUAAACUUUAUUGAUAAA
Molecule: long non-coding RNA, 269 nt
Filed under: Lathyrus oleraceus (garden pea)
Lineage: Eukaryota; Viridiplantae; Streptophyta; Magnoliopsida; Fabales; Fabaceae
Description: Pisum sativum (pea) long non-coding RNA (PSAT_LNC037595)
Source: RNAcentral